AAAGCUCAGAUGUUUGGGUACAGUAGGCCCAUUCCGACACAACAAGCCUACGCUCAAGCUGUGAUCCCAACAGAGAAGAAAGCGUUUCAGGUCUGAGCUGCUCUCAUCCAGUGAGCUACUGCCGUAUCAGCUCCGCUCCGAGGAAGUGGAAGUACUUGCUUUUAUUUAUUUUUAUCCUGUGGCAUCGAAAUGCCCCAGCUGAAAGUCUCUGGCAAAAUUGACUUGAAUUUGCAAAUAUGUUUGAGCUGCCCUGAAGUAUCAUUUAUGGAAGCACCUGGUAUUUUCCAAAAUAUGAUAUGAUGAUGAUGAUGAUAAAAGUAAUGAUAACAGCUGUUAUUGUUCAGGCUAAAGAAAAUGAUUUAUGCAGCACCAAGCAUAAGGGGGCCCCAUUCUCCACUGGCUGAGGCCUCUUCAUCUCCAGGGUACAGCGAUGAGUGCAGCAGGUGCAGGAAGGACAGCUGGAGAGCAAUGACACCAUUCCCCUGAUGGAUGCAAUCAUCUGUGGUGGUUAGGCUGCUUUGCGUGACAGGACCCUAAGUGAUGACCAAGAGAAGAGGAGAAGAUACAGAUGUAUGGGUGGAGUGGAGGAAGGAGGUCAGGCCGAGGGACUGCUGUGGUUUAAACACCUCCCAGUUGUGAAGAGGUCAUGGCUUCUCCUGCUUGUCUCACUGUUCCUUUCACAGAUAGUCUGGUGACUACAACCACCACCACCACGACCUUGCUAAGUAAAUAAGGUCCAUAACACCA
Molecule: long non-coding RNA, 747 nt
Organism: Harpia harpyja (harpy eagle)
Lineage: Eukaryota; Metazoa; Chordata; Aves; Accipitriformes; Accipitridae
Exons: 5
Source: RefSeq, a predicted model, not a curated record